CAUUGCACUGGCACCUACAACCAGAACACACUGGGAGAACAACGGAGGACGGCAACAGUGUCCAUCUGACAUCAUUCACUACAGGUCUCUUCUUCCUUUUGGGCAGCAGCUGUGAAGAUGGCUGCUUCUUACUGGGUUAUUGUAGCGGUCGUUCUUUUGAUGACUGCUACAAACGGUGCGACUGCUAUUGAGACACACGAGCUCGCACCAAUUGUUCAAAACAUUCUGAACAGGUACACACCUAGCUACGGUCCAAACGACGACAG
Molecule: non-coding RNA, 266 nt
Organism: Maylandia zebra (zebra mbuna)
Lineage: Eukaryota; Metazoa; Chordata; Actinopteri; Cichliformes; Cichlidae
Source: RefSeq, a predicted model, not a curated record